This 1458-nucleotide ribosomal RNA is filed under the name Caulobacter sp. Its description in RNAcentral is "bacterial SSU rRNA". It matches the Rfam family "Bacterial small subunit ribosomal RNA". Lineage: Bacteria; Pseudomonadati; Pseudomonadota; Alphaproteobacteria; Caulobacterales; Caulobacteraceae. The record is from RNAcentral.
CUGCAUUGCGGCAGGCUAAACAUGCAGUCGAACGGAUCCUUCGGGAUUAGUGGCGGACGGGUGAGUAACACGUGGGAACGUGCCCUUUGGUUCGGAACAACUCAGGGAAACUUGAGCUAAUACCGGAUGUGCCCUUCGGGGGAAAGAUUUAUCGCCCCAUUGGAAGCGGCCCCGCGUUUGAGGAUUAGCUUAGUUUGGGUGGGGUAAAAGGCCCCCACCAAGGGUCUACGAUCCUUUAGCUGGUCUGGAGAGGGAUGAUCAGCCCACAUUGGGACUGAGACACGGGCCCCAAACUCCUACGGGGAGGCAGCAGUGGGGAAUCUUGCGCAAUGGGCGAAAGCCUGACGCAGCCAUGCCGCGUGAAUGAUGAAGGUCCUUAGGAUUGUAAAAUUCUUUCACCGGGGACGAUAAUGACGGUACCCGGAGAAGAAGCCCCGGCUAACUUCGUGCCAGCAGCCGCGGUAAUACGAAGGGGGCUAGCGUUGCUCGGAAUUACUGGGCGUAAAGGGAGCGUAGGCGGAUAGUUUAGUCAGAGGUGAAAGCCCAGGGCUCAACCUUGGAAUUGCCUUUGAUACUGGCUAUCUUGAGUACGGAAGAGGUAUGUGGAACUCCGAGUGUAGAGGUGAAAUUCGUAGAUAUUCGGAAGAACACCAGUGGCGAAGGCGACAUACUGGUCCGUUACUGACGCUGAGGCUCGAAAGCGUGGGGAGCAAACAGGAUUAGAUACCCUGGUAGUCCACGCUGUAAACGAUGAGUGCUAGUUGUCGGCAGGCAUGCCUGUCGGUGACGCAGCUAACGCAUUAAGCACUCCGCCUGGGGGAGUACGGUCGCAAGAUUAAAACUCAAAGGAAUUGACGGGGGGCCCGCACAAGCGGUGGAAGCAUGUGGGUUUAAUUCGGAAGCAACGCCGCAGAAACCUUUACCACCUUUUUGACAUGCCCCGGACCGCCGGCAGAGAUGCGGGCUUUCCCCUUCGGGGACUGGGGACACAGGUGGCUGCAUGGGCUGUCGUCAGCCUCGUGUCCGUGAAGAUGUUUGGGGUUAAGUCCCCGCAACGAAGCGCAACCCUUCGCUAUUAAUUGGCCAUCAAGGUUUGGGCUGGGGCACUCCUAAUAAUUACUGGCCGAAAUUUAAUUCCGGAAGAAAGGUGGGGAAUGAACGUCCAAGUCCCUCAUGGGCCCCUUAACAAGGUGGGCUACACACGUGCUACAAUGGCGACUACAGAGGGCUGCAAUCCCGCGAGGGGGAGCCAAUCCCUAAAAGUCGUCUCAGUUCGGAUUGCACUCUGCAACUCGAGUGCAUGAAGUUGGAAUCGCUAGUAAUCGCGGAUCAGCAUGCCGCGGUGAAUACGUUCCCGGGCCUUGUACACACCGCCCGUCACACCAUGGGAGUUGGCUUUACCCGAAGGCGCUGCGCUAACCGCAAGGAGGCAGGCGACCAUCGUAGGUCAGGGUUUGC